GUACUUAUUUACGUAGAGAUAGAAGUUACUUCGGUACAUCGGUGACAGGUGGUGCAUGGUUGUCGUCAGCUCGUGUCGUGAGAUGUUGGGUUAAGUCCCGCAACGAGCGCAACCCCUAUUGUUAGUUGCCAUCAUUCAGUUGGGCACUCUAGCGAGACUGCCGGUAAUAAACCGGAGGAAGUGGGGAUGACGUCAAAUCAUCAUGCCCCUUAUGACCUGGGCUACACACGUGCUACAAUGGUUGGUACAACGAGUUGCGAGUCGGUGACGGCGAGCUAAUCUCUUAAAGCCAAUCUCAGUUCGGAUUGUAGGCUGCAACUCGCCUACAUGAAGUCGGAAUCGCUAGUAAUCGCGGAUCAGCACGCCGCGGUGAAUACGUUCCCGGGCCUU
Molecule: ribosomal RNA, 390 nt
Filed under: uncultured Streptococcus sp.
Lineage: Bacteria; Bacillati; Bacillota; Bacilli; Lactobacillales; Streptococcaceae
Description: bacterial SSU rRNA
Rfam family: Bacterial small subunit ribosomal RNA
Source: RNAcentral